CGUGAAGAUGCGAGCUAUUUGCGGUUAGACGGAAAGACCCCGUGCACCUUUACUAUUAUUUUAAGUUGUAAAAUUAAAAUUUGUGCGUAGCGUAGGUGGGAGCGAAAGCAAUAAUGAAACACCACCCUUAAAUUUUAGUUUUACUUAAUUAUUCAAGACAGCUUAUGAAAGGUAGUUUGACUGGGGCGGUCGCCUCCCAAAAAGUAACGGAGGCGUACAAAGGCGAACUCAGAUAAUUAAAAAUUGGAGAGUGUAAUGGCAUAUGUUCGCUUGACUGUAAGAUUGACAAAUCGAACAGGGAUUUAAUACUAGUCGGUCAUAGUGAUCCGGUGAUUCUGUGUGGAAAGAUCAUCGCUCAACGAAUAAAAGGUACGCCGGGGAUAACAGGCUGAUGGUUUCUGAGAGUUCAUAUCGACGAGACCGUUUGGCACCUCGAUGUCGGCUCAUCACAUCCUGGGGCUGAAGCAGGUCCCAAGGGUUUGGCUGUUCGCCAAUUAAAGCGGUACGCGAGCUGGGUUCAGACCGGCGUGAGCCAGGUCGGUCCCUAUCUGCUGUGGGUGUGGGAACUUUGACGGCGAU
RNAcentral lists this ribosomal RNA (579 nucleotides) under uncultured Dinobryon. RNAcentral describes it as "partial Bacterial large subunit ribosomal RNA". It matches the Rfam family "Bacterial large subunit ribosomal RNA", at positions 2052 to 2672 of the family's 2925-position model. Lineage: Eukaryota; Chrysophyceae; Chromulinales. The record is from RNAcentral.